This is a non-coding RNA of Hyaloscypha variabilis F, 174 nucleotides long. The record is from the annotation of a GenBank genome assembly. NCBI's taxonomy places the organism in Eukaryota, Fungi, Ascomycota, Leotiomycetes, Helotiales, Hyaloscyphaceae.
GGGAGGAUGGCCGAGUGGUUAUGGCGUGUGGUACGUGCUUGCCUGCGCCCAGCGAAAAUGUUCCACCCUAACAUUCUUAUCAGGCUCAAGAUACGAUAUCGUAUUUUUCUGAUUUAAACAUCAGUGUGCUUUCUCAUAGGGAAACCUGCAGGGGUUCGAAUCCCCUUCCUCUCA